AUGGCUGUCGUCAGCUCGUGCCGUGAGGUGUUGGGUUAAGUCCCGCAACGAGCGCAACCCCUGUGGCUAGUUACCAGCACGUUGUGGUGGGGACUCUAGCCAGACUGCCUACGCAAGUAGUGAGGAAGGUGGGGACGACGUCAAGUCAUCAUGGCCCUUACGUCCAGGGCUGCACACGUGCUACAAUGGAUGGUCCAGCGGGAGGCGACCGCGCGAGCGGCAGCAGAUCCCCAAAACCAUUCCCAGUUCGGAUUGGAGUCUGCAACUCGACUCCAUGAAGCCGGAAUCGCUAGUAAUCGCGGAUCAGCGAUGCCGCGGUGAAUACGUUCCCGGGCCUUGUACACACCGCCCGU
RNAcentral lists this ribosomal RNA (353 nucleotides) under uncultured Bacteroidota bacterium. Its description in RNAcentral is "bacterial SSU rRNA". It matches the Rfam family "Bacterial small subunit ribosomal RNA", at positions 1045 to 1397 of the family's 1533-position model. The record is from RNAcentral. Lineage: Bacteria; Pseudomonadati; Bacteroidota.